Colletes gigas is the source of this 1134-nucleotide long non-coding RNA. RefSeq lists it as uncharacterized. NCBI's taxonomy places the organism in Eukaryota, Metazoa, Arthropoda, Insecta, Hymenoptera, Colletidae. The record is from RefSeq and is a predicted model, not a curated record. The transcript is spliced from 4 exons.
AACCUCGAGAAGUGUCGCAGUCGUAUUUUUUGUCCGGGACCGGGAGUCGACGCGUUUCGUUCGCCCGUAAGAAAGAAGGUUUAACGAGAGAAAGAGUUUAACGAAGAUUCUAGUGCCGUGAGGCGUUUUCACGAGGUUGUACGUUUUAAAAGAAAGCCAGACGCUAACGGCCGUCGUGACGCGUACGCAACUUUAUUGCUUCGGUAGCCAUCUUGUCGUACGGGCUCGAGAUUUAUCUCGUCGGCUCAUUACGGUAGCGUCUUGUAAUAAUAUUUCGAAUACUCUCGUGUGUCUCGUUACGGUCUACAAAAUCGGUGUAAAAGACUGUUUUCGACGCUGUGCGCAUCGAAUUGAUCACCGAAUCGUCUUGAAAAGCGGUUAGUUCGAGUUAGAUUCACGCGAGCUAACCUAAAAUUACAAAGUGCGGGAGAGUGUGGGUGACGGAGAACCACACGAAGAUGAAGAAACAAGGAGAGGAAUCAUCAAUCUUCGUCUGAUAACAGUGGCGCACCCGAGUCCCGACCAAAUUACCAAUACGUUGGUAGCUAAAAUGCAGAGGUUGGCGUAGCCAUCGAGAAGAGGAUCCUGCGAUGACCGGAAGAAACACCGAGAAAUGGACUGCACUCGAGUCUCAUUUGGGUGUCUCCAUUCAUGAGAUCAGGGAGGCGGAUUUAAUCGGAAGAAAAAGGAGUAAUAUGACGCAGCGUCCAAAAUCGCGAACGUUCUUGGUGACAUGCGUUGGAUGGUGGCCCCCCCGCGUGAAGAUCUACGAUUACAAUUCUACGGAUCGUUGCUCGGUCAACGGUACAUGCAACAUCUCCGGGGUACACGCGUAUUACAUAAUUCAAAAAGUUCUAAAAUUAGAGGCCCGCGCGUCGAGUCGCGCCGCGGCACGGAUAGGCUGGCCCGAGACGAGAGGAAAAGAAUACGCUCGAAGAAGAUCUCGCGCGAGAGUCUGCGCGAGUUAAAUAUAACGUCUCUGGAGCAGACGACAGGUAGUUGCUCGCCAGCCUCGGCCUGGGGCUCUGUGGUUACGAUGGACGGUGUCCACCACGAUUCGCGUUUGCUUUUUGGUGGAUGGAAGAAACUUCGAGAAUUGUAAUUUGUUUGUAAUUGGGGAACGAUAAUAUACGA